This 1070-nucleotide long non-coding RNA is filed under the name Canis lupus dingo (dingo). Its description in RNAcentral is "lncRNA (ENSCAFG00020016623.1)". The record is from RNAcentral. Lineage: Eukaryota; Metazoa; Chordata; Mammalia; Carnivora; Canidae.
AUGACUUGGAAUCCAUCUUUGUCUUGUAUAACUAGGUCAUAGCACACCAUUAAUGUCAGCAGUUAACAAUUUUGAAUUCCAAAAAACCUAAGUAAACGACAUAUUUAAUUUUUUUUCCUCUUUUUUUCUUGGGUGGGUGGGUGGGAGCUUGGAGCUGUCUUAAUCUGUAUUCUCUUGACUGAACAAUAAAUUUUUAAAUAUAUGUAGUUUCCUCUAUUAAACACUUAAACCUGGCCAUCUUAUUAACUCCUUCUGCUCUCUUUUUAACAAGGUAAUGUUUUAAAUGUAUAGCUGUAGGAUUAGCGAAAUGGCAGCAACAAAAAAUUGUAAGCAGUUGUUAUUCUUUUAAGUUUUUAAAAACCUUUUACGUUGUAAGUACCCAAUCCAUUCUGUCCUUAUGCAGUGCAGUUUCUAUGUUAAUGUUGCUGAGAUGUCCUUAAUUUUCUGAACCUUCAUCUGCAUGUAUGUCUUUGUCGCUCUUGUCUAAUAUAAGCCAGUUAAAAAUGCUUCUAGACGAUUUUGCUUUCUAUAAAGCUAAGGUUUUAGCUUUAAGCUUUUGAAAAUGUUUACAGCAAUAAAUGCUAGUCAGUUUUCUUCCCAGUAACAUGUACACUUUCUUUGAAAAUCGAUCUAUUUGAAGAAAAACAGCUCUGUUUUUCUCGUCUUGGUAGGGGGGUGGGUGAGGGAAAGGAAGACCUUCUCUUUGUGUACAGAGACUAAAGCCGUCACAGGAAACUAGAUUAAAACUGGAAAACAAGUCCUAGCUGGUUCGAGCCAAACACCAACGUUAACUCGCGGAGCAGUAAACAGUCCUCAGCGAAGCCGCCUUUUGCCAACCCAACCCUGGAAAGUUUGCAGAAGUGGAAGGAGCAGAAAAUGCCAUGAGAGUAUAACUUACAAAAAGCUUGAUCUUCCAGACUCCAUGGCACCGGGCUGAGCGGGUAAGUUCAAAAAAAAAAAAAAAAAAGUGCCUUUUGCCCCUUCGAGGAAAUCUUUUUUCGAGCAGGCCAAGGGCUGCAGAUGUUUGGGAGCUGAGGGGAGAAGGAGGUUUCUGGAGCUUUGUGUUUGGC